AUUGAACGCUGGCGGCAUGCUUUACACAUGCAAGUCGAACGGUAACAGGGAGCUUGCUCCGCUGACGAGUGGCGAACGGGUGAGUAAUGCAUCGGAACGUGCCGUGUAAUGGGGGAUAACGUAGCGAAAGUUACGCUAAUACCGCAUACGCCCUGAGGGGGAAAGUGGGGGACCGCAAGGCCUCACGUUAUACGAGCGGCCGAUGUCGGAUUAGCUAGAUGGUAAGGUAACGGCUUACCAUGGCAACGAUAGGUAGGGGUCCUGAGAGGGAGAUCCCCCACACUGGUACUGAGACACGGACCAGACUCCUACGGGAGGCAGCAGUGAGGAAUAUUGGACAAUGGGCGCAAGCCUGAUCCAGCCAUGCCGCGUUGCAGGAAGAAGCAUCUAUGGUGUGUAAACUGCUUUUGUACGGGAAGAAACACUCCUUCGUGAAGGAGCUUGACGGUACCGUAAGAAUAAGGAUCGGCUAACUCCGUG
Molecule: ribosomal RNA, 480 nt
Filed under: uncultured bacterium
Lineage: Bacteria
Description: bacterial SSU rRNA
Rfam family: Bacterial small subunit ribosomal RNA
Source: RNAcentral